Molecule: ribosomal RNA, 497 nt
Filed under: uncultured bacterium
Lineage: Bacteria
Description: partial 16S ribosomal RNA
Rfam family: Bacterial small subunit ribosomal RNA
Source: RNAcentral
GAUGAACGCUGGCGGCGUGCCUAAUACAUGCAAGUCGAGCGAACAGACGAGGAGCUUGCUCCUCUGACGUUAGCGGCGGACGGGUGAGUAACACGUGGAUAACCUACCUAUAAGACUGGGAUAACUUCGGGAAACCGGAGCUAAUACCGGAUAAUAUAUUGAACCGCAUGGUUCAAUAGUGAAAGACGGUUUUGCUGUCACUUAUAGAUGGAUCCGCGCCGCAUUAGCUAGUUGGUAAGGUAACGGCUUACCAAGGCAACGAUGCGUAGCCGACCUGAGAGGGUGAUCGGCCACACUGGAACUGAGACACGGUCCAGACUCCUACGGGAGGCAGCAGUAGGGAAUCUUCCGCAAUGGGCGAAAGCCUGACGGAGCAACGCCGCGUGAGUGAUGAAGGUCUUCGGAUCGUAAAACUCUUUUAUUAGGGAAGAACAAAUGUGUAAGUAACUAUGCCCGUCUUGACGGUACCUAAUCAGAAAGCCCCGGCUAACUACGUG